GCGGGGAUAGCGCAGUGGUAGCGCAGGGGCCUUCCAGGUCUCAGCCGGUGGUUCGAUUCCAUCUCCCCGCU
RNAcentral lists this transfer RNA (71 nucleotides) under Ardenticatenia bacterium. Its description in RNAcentral is "tRNA-Gly". It matches the Rfam family "tRNA". From Rfam's summary of the family: Transfer RNA (tRNA) molecules are approximately 80 nucleotides in length. Their secondary structure includes four short double-helical elements and three loops (D, anti-codon, and T loops). Further hydrogen bonds mediate the characteristic L-shaped molecular structure. tRNAs have two regions of fundamental functional importance: the anti-codon, which is responsible for specific mRNA codon recognition, and the 3' end, to which the tRNAs corresponding amino acid is attached (by aminoacyl-tRNA synthetases). tRNAs cope with the degeneracy of the genetic code in two manners: having more than one tRNA (with a specific anti-codon) for a particular amino acid; and 'wobble' base-pairing, i.e. permitting non-standard base-pairing at the 3rd anti-codon position. The record is from RNAcentral. Lineage: Bacteria; Bacillati; Chloroflexota; Ardenticatenia.